RNAcentral lists this ribosomal RNA (274 nucleotides) under uncultured bacterium. RNAcentral's name for it is "partial 16S ribosomal RNA". It matches the Rfam family "Bacterial small subunit ribosomal RNA", at positions 523 to 796 of the family's 1533-position model. The record is from RNAcentral.
AUACGUAGGGUCCAAGCGUUAUUCGGAUUUACUGGGCGUAAAGCGUGCGUAGGCGGCUAUAUAAGUUAGAUGUUAAAUCUGUGGGCUCAACUCACAGGCUGCAUCUAAUACUGUAUGGCUCGAGAGUGGAAGAGGCGAACGGAAUUCCUAGUGGAGCGGUUAAAUGCGUAGAUAUUAGGAGGAACACCAAUGGCGAAGGCAGUUUGCUGGGCCAUUUCUGACGCUAAGGCACGAAAGCGUGGGGAGCGAUCGGGAUUAGAAACCCCUGUAGUCC